Corvus hawaiiensis (hawaiian crow) is the source of this 6230-nucleotide long non-coding RNA. RefSeq lists it as uncharacterized. The record is from RefSeq and is a predicted model, not a curated record. The transcript has 2 exons. NCBI's taxonomy places the organism in Eukaryota, Metazoa, Chordata, Aves, Passeriformes, Corvidae.
UACACACUAAGCAGUACAGAAUUUGAAAAAUAUAAAAGUUAAAACCUAAGGCAUCACCUCCAGAUCUUUCACCAUCCUUGUGUCCCUCCUUUGCAUGCUCUCUAAGAGCUUUAGGUAUUUCUUAUCGUGGUGGCCAAAACUGCCCAGCGCUAAGAGUGGCACACUAACCUUGAAUGACAAAAUCAUUAACAAAACAUGUUCAAGCUAUAUUGGCAUUGCUCUGAUCCAUGUGACUCAUGGAUGGUUAUCCAUGAAGGCAUCCAGAUAUUAACUUCCAUUACAAAAACUAUGGGAGAUAAGAGCCUAGGAAGAUGUCUGUGAGGAUCUGGGAUUCAGUGAUGUGCAUGCUCAGAUUUCACCAAAAUAUCAGUGCCAGCACUGCUUAAUAAAGCAAGACAAAGUUAUCAAAAAACCUAGGCAAAAAUAGCCACUGGUUUUCAAAGAAAUCUGUGUUCCCAAGUCACAUAGACACUUUCAAUUGUUCUACAAUUAAAAGUAAUGAGCACCAGUUGUGCUAAGCAUUUGAUGGUAUAAAGGCUUUUAUUUGGUUGUGGGAUACUGUUCAUGCCUAGUGUCCAACACAAACCAAAACCCAGCAAGGAACCAGGUGAAGAGACAGUUGUAAAUGAGUUUCCUGCUGUGUCUUAUGUUCAUGUUCCAGAGGUUCUUGCUCUGGAUUUUCCCUGUCCAGCUUGCUUAUACAAAUGUAAACAAUAAUGUCUCCAUCCUCAAGGAGCCCAAGUGAGACUUCAUAAACUAAACAAAGUGUGUUAACAAGGUUUCUCAAUCAGCUGAAAGCGAGCAGCAGUUUACACAUUAAUAUCUGGUUUUAAUUAACACUUAGGAGAGAGUGAGAAACACUGGAUGCACUUUGAAGUAACACAAAUAAAAGUACCACUCUUAGACAGUUCUCAAUGUAAACAUCUAAACUGAAAAUAAAAUUGUUCCUGAUAUGGUAAAUUUCCCUUUUGUGAAAAAAGGCAGUUUAACCCUUCCUUUCCACAGUAAGACAGGUCCUUUGAACAUCUCGCUUUUGAUGAUGAGAACGUCUCACUUGUAGUGAAAUUAUUAAAACACACUUCACAGCACUCAGGGAUCUGGGAGGUUUCAGUCCAGUCUCGGACUUUACAGUCCUUCCUGAGCAGAUUAUUCCUGUGUGGAAGCAUACCCUCUUCUCUGGCUUCAGCCUGGAUUUGGUACUGUGUUUCUCACAUCUGGUAAAAAACUACCCUGCAAGCUUGACAAAUGAUAGUGUAACAGUGACUAUUUGAAAAUCAGAUGGGGAAUCCCGCAGGUCCAAUUUUUAUUUAGGCUUGGCUUGCUGGCUCAUUCCAGUGACCUCCGAUGAGGUUUGGCAUAGGAUACUCAUGCUUGCAACAUAUAUUUUUCCUCCUUUUUAUACAACUUUUUCAUCCAAAGUUUCAACAUGGCCACAACUUUGGUUGUAUUUUCUUUUUCUGUCCUCUUUUUUGCUUUUUACCAUGGGUAGAAUAAAAUGAUUGAUGGCCCAGGAUUCAGUGAUUUACCUUUUAUUCCUGCAUCUUAGCAAAACUUAGAGUCUGAGUUUGGAAGUUUGAAUGCAUUUCACUCCCCUUUGCAAUUCAACUUUUCCAAAGUUUAAUAAGUUUUAACUGUAGCACAAAGAAACCUUAUAAAAAUAUUACAUCCAUCAUAUUAUACUAGCUGGCAGAAAAAAGAAAAGAUUAUUCAAAAUUUUUAUUAAAACUUGAGCAAAAUUAUUUUUAGGAAAGUCUCCCUCGGAAAGCUUCCACACUUGAAAGGUUUUUCCCACUAGAGCAAAGAAAAAGAGAUUUUACUAUGUAGAAUAUGGUAGCAUAUCCCUAGCUCCAGCUCUUCCCAAACUUCCAGUGGAGAGCUACAUCUGCAGUGGUUUGGGUGAGUGUGUGGGCACACGCUCCAAACCAGCCAUCACUCACAUACAGCUGCGAAAGGCCCACAGUGAUGGUGGAGCUUUCCCUGACCCAGAGCUGUGUCUGCAGCUGGGACACGAGAGAGGCUUGGCCACAAGUGAGCCCAGCCAGGUGUGGUGCUUGGUGUCCACAGGUGACGCCAGGUGGAGGCAAACCUGGACACGCACGGCGUGAGUGGCAGCCAGGCCAUGCUCCCCCCUGCAGUGUGUGGCACAUCCCACAGGGCAUUCCCACCAAACGCAGGCGGGUGUGCUUUUCCCCAAGGAGUAUUUAAAGUAGUUUUAUCACUGUUCAAUCUGGAGACAUCGGAACUCUUUUUUUUUGAGGCUGGUGUGCUCACCUUGGCCCGAGGGCAGAUGGGCUCCAGUGGCAGGGGCCAGGCUGCAGCCGCCUUCCAACCUUCCCCUGAGUUCUCCUGUCCAAGGCCUCUCCAAACUGAUUUACGGCUCCCUCCGAGUGCCUGGGAUGGAAUUAGAGUGCCUUGUAUUACACAGUGCCUUCCCUGUUACUCUUGCUGCAUGCCACAGAUUUAUGAUGGCUUUUAAGCCAGGCAGCACGUAAAGAAAUAUGAUCUUAACAAAAUAUAGAAGGGACCAAAGGAGGUCAAUGUGUGGGAGCUGAACACUAUAUGGUGAUCCGGGAUUUCCUUUUAUUUACUGCUCACACCUUUUCAAUCUCAAGUGGAUUUGGGCUGUCUCAGGCAGCCCUACCCCACAUAAUCCUCUGAGCCCAGAGACUUUGCCAUCAGCGGAUGUCUUUCAUUACGAUUUAGCACAUGUAGGAAAUCCCAAAAUGCCACUGGUGAAUUAAAUGAAUUUUGAACACAGAGUGCCAGAAAGACACACAGCAUCAGGGUAGGUAGGAACCCCACAUUCAUCCGGGCAGCCUUUCUGUCUCCUGACAUCUCUUGCUGUGGCACCAGCUGAGGGUUUUCCAGGUCAGUGGUGUCCUGCAGUGCUCCUCUGCUUUCAGUGCUGAAGGAGAAUCAUUUGUGAGAGUCCUUCAUGGAGACAUGGAGCAAAAGCUGUGCCCGAUUCCAUUGCUAGGACUGUGGGACAAGGAAAGUAAUGCUGUAAGCAGUUCUACUUUAUAGCUUUAUUUACAUAGAUUCAUCAAUUAUUCCUAAACUGUAGCACACAAGAAAAAUAGAGGCCUUGCCCUUAGCCUGCAGACGGAUAAUGUGAGACCUGCAGCAGGUGCAAGGUGUCUUGAGCACAAGGGCAGAGCUGCAGGGAGUCACCUGCAGGACCAUGGCCUGACUUAAACACUGCCUCAAACUGCAAAGGGAAACAGCUGGCAAGGGGGAGGGAAGCUGUAAUUACAGCCAACAACUGACUCCUGAGCUAGUGACUACUGCUGAGAGCCUGAUCUUGAACCAGAAGCCAAGAACGGGAGCCUUUUCUUUUCUGGGUGAGGGCUGUCAUUCCCUCUAGCUACAGUAUCAUUCUGUCCAUUACUAAAACAAGGUCUGGUGUACUCCCUUUCAUUCAGAUUUAUUAUCAUUAUUUCUCUAGCUGGGGAAAGAAAUUUGUCUCCCUUCUAGCCUAGGGCUGUAGCAAGGUUCCCAUGGUGUGGGGGUUUUGCUGGUGUUAUUUGGGGGGAGGGAUGCUGGUGGUCUGUUUCUUUUUGGAAGGCACAUAACAGUUCAUAUAGUAGUUCACCUGCUCUUGUAAGCUUCCAGAGCAACAUCCUUUCCAGUUCUCUAGCUGCUGGUUGCUGCUCACACUGUAAGCUCUUUCUAGAGCAAGAAGGGUUGAACCAGGCUGGUCCCCAGAUGUUCUUUGGGAAUUUCACAGGCCACGAGUGAUUUGAAGCACCUUUUUUUAGAAGUCUGGACUCUUGUGAGAUUUAAGGCAGACAUCAGCACUGACAGUCACCACAAAACUGCCUCCUCUUGACCAAGUUCACAGGUGACUCGCAUUGAUAAAGUAAGCAGCACCCCUUUAGUUUUCUACACAGAAUAUGGUUAAAACAAAUAGAGUAGUUGCUGGAAAUAAUCCGCAGGAGGUUUGAUACUCUGCUGGUCACACCAUUGUUGCCAUUUCUUUCCCAGGUGCAGUUCCUCAAAGCCUGGGCUUUGCCUGAGAAGGUCUCAGCUAUGGGUGUUCUCCUGAGAUUCCAGGUCUCCUCAAGAGUGGCAUCCAAAGAAGGGGGUGACUUGGCUUCAGAAGCACAGUGGAGAUCAAUCUCAGAGUCUCUGUGUGUGUGUGGGUCCCCCACUUUGGCCAGGGCUGGACUUCAGCUGAAAGCAGCCCAAGCUGACAGCAGACUUUGCUAGGGGUAAUCAUGUAGUAAUUUUUUCACUGUGUUUCCCUAUCUUGGUGACACACUUGGCUUGUGCAAGAGCCACAAAGAUGUUCAUCAGGUCCCACUUCUCCUGUCAGGAGCCUCUUGCCUGUGCACUUGAUCUGUGUGCUCAAUUAUAACCAUUCCAGUGGGACACAAAACUCAUAUUUUAUGUUGAAUGAAAUUAUGAAGUCACAGCCUAAACUAUGUCGCACUUCUUGCUGGGCCGUGUAAUGCAUAUUUAAAGGAAGAAAGGUCAAAACAUUGCACCAGCAUAGAAAGGGGCACAUGAUGUUUUUCUCUGUAGAACAGGGAUCACCCUGUAUGCUUCUCUGCCAAGGCUUCAGCAAGCUUGACGGCACAAAAAUUAACUUUUCUAUUUAGCAGGGCCAGGAAACGUUGUAAGAACAGUCAGUGAGAGGAUGACUGAGGGGACUGAGCCUUUCACACUUGCUGUGGCUUUAUGCCUUACACUUUCAGGAGAACACAGCCUCUUCUUUCCUAUGCACCCAUAGACAGACCAUACGGAUAAAGGAAUAACAGAAAUUCUGAUCACCUCUGAGCCUUGAAAAUGUUCCUUCUUCUAUUGGUGACAUAUCUAGGUCCAAAAAAGCCAAAAACUCCUAAACAUACCUGUAGUUUUCUACUUCAUAGCUACAAGCAGAAAUCAAUACUGAAGGUCUGUAAACAGUGCUCUGGCUAUGUAGUGUCCUUCAUCUCAACUGUGGGCUGUAGGAAACCUCAAUUCCCUGGCUGCAAUAAAUGCUGCAGGCUCCAGAGCCAAGCAAAAAGUUUCACUAAAAGUAGAUAGAUAGAUAGAUAGAUAGAUAGAUAGAUAGAUAGAUAUCUGCUGAUGCAGUCUCUCACUCUGGCAUCUGAAGUACAUAGACCUCUUCUGGAGGCACUGGAUGAUUUAGAUUUCAGGGUCGCUGCAGAAGCCUUCCAGCUGUCAGCAUGCAGCGAGUGCCUUGCGGUUCUGUAUAAAGACUUCCUGAUGCCCAAAGGCACUGAGCUCCCAUUGCUUUACAUGCCUGGCCUUACCAGUUCGUGAGUUACUCGCCUCAUGUGAGCGAGCCAGCGACACCUUCUGUGCUCUUAGGCAGGCACUGCUGGAAUUUUACGAGGCACUGGGUUUGGCAGUUCAUGGCUAUGGCAGCAUUGGUGCAGUGCAUGAUGUUUUGGCUUUCAGGAAGCUUGGUGACUUUGAGGAAAUGUCUUGCUGGUGCUUUAGCACCAGACAAGCCCUGCUCUUCUAUAAACAUUUAAUGAAAUGCAGUUUUUUGUUGAUUUGUGCCUUAAGUCUCUCUUAGCACUGCAUGCUGCAGCCUGAACUUGCCUCUUCUUCCUUAAAUGAGAUUAUCCAGAGCAUUGUCAAGCAAAAUCUUUAAUAUUUCCACUAAGGAAGGUCCCACCUCUUCUCUGGGAAGCCUAUUGCUCAAUUAUUUUCUGUCUGAAGAAUUAGUUUUUUCCUAUAUCCAGAAGGAAUUUCCCCUAAACUGUCUUGUGCCCACGGCCUCCUGUCCUGGCACCAGAAAUCCUUUGGAAAAGAAUGUCUCCAUCUCCUCUAGAACCACCUCCUUUGGGUGUUGAGACACUGACUAGACCCAUCCUGGGCCUUGCCUUCCCCAGGCUGAACAAACCCACUUCCUUUAGCCUUUCUUCAUGGGUCAGGUUCUCCAACCCUCUCUCCAAUGGACCCUCUCCAGUUCUUCAGUGUCUCCCAAUGUCUUUCAUUUUCUUGAGCUGGGGGGCCAAAAGUGGGCAUCAAAUUCCAGGUUCAUCCCAACAAGUCUUGAGUAGCUGUGGCCUGAUCAAUAUGUUCAUGCAGAUACUGGAAUAAAAGGAUAAAAAAAAUCUAAAAUUCAGCUUCAAUAUACAGAAUUAAUUUCUUUCAGUACCAAAACAAGUUCAGAAACGGAGAUUAACUCUCUCCUAUUGCAAGGUUCUUACACAAAGAUGAGACCUCAAAAAAAAAAAAAAAAAAAAAAAAAAGAGUAAAGCAGGGAGAAAUUA